Molecule: ribosomal RNA, 602 nt
Filed under: Reyranella sp.
Lineage: Bacteria; Pseudomonadati; Pseudomonadota; Alphaproteobacteria; Hyphomicrobiales; Reyranellaceae
Description: bacterial SSU rRNA
Rfam family: Bacterial small subunit ribosomal RNA
Source: RNAcentral
UGAGUAACACGUGGAUAUCUGCCUUUUGGUUCGGAAUAACCCUGGGAAACUAGGGCUAAUACCGAAUGGUUCCUACGGGAUAAAGAUUUAUCGCCAAAAGAUGAGUCCGCGUACGAUUAGCUAGUUGGUGAGGUAAUGGCUCACCAAGGCGACGAUCGUUAGCUGGUCUGAGAGGACGAUCAGCCACACUGGGACUGAGACACGGCCCAGACUCCUACGGGAGGCAGCAGUGGGGAAUAUUGGACAAUGGGGGCAACCCUGAUCCAGCCAUGCCGCGUGAGUGAUGAAGGCCUUCGGGUUGUAAAGCUCUUUUGGCGGGGACGAUGAUGACGGUACCCGCAGAAUAAGCCCCGGCUAACUUCGUGCCAGCAGCCGCGGUAAGACGAAGGGGGCUAGCGUUGUUCGGAAUUACUGGGCGUAAAGCGAGUGUAGGCGGUUGUCAUAGUCAGGCGUGAAAGCCUUGAGCUUAACUCAAGAAAUGCGCUUGAUACUGGAUGACUAGAGGACCGGAGAGGAUAGUGGAAUUCCCAGUGUAGUGGUGAAAUACGUAGAGAUUGGGAAGAACACCAGUGGCGAAGGCGGCUAUCUGGACGGUACUGACG